CCGCCCAUAGCUCAGUCUGGUAGAGCAGCUGCCUUUUAAGCAGAUGGUCCCAGGUUCAAAUCCUGGUGGGCGGA
RNAcentral lists this transfer RNA (74 nucleotides) under Candidatus Jorgensenbacteria bacterium GWC1_48_12. RNAcentral's name for it is "tRNA-Lys". It matches the Rfam family "tRNA". From Rfam's summary of the family: Transfer RNA (tRNA) molecules are approximately 80 nucleotides in length. Lineage: Bacteria; Candidatus Joergenseniibacteriota. The record is from RNAcentral.